CUUCCCGUCGGUACCCAGGAGGGAGCACAGCCUGCAAUGGCCGCCUUAUCUCACCCUCGCCCAUGGCCCCGCAGACAUGAGACCUGAUUGUGUCACUUUGCUGCUGGGUCCCUGCUGCCUUCAGGAUGACACCCAAGCCCCUUAGCCUGGACGUGAGCCCCUCAUGACCAGACCCUGCCAGCCUCUCCUCCUUUGCAGUUCAUCAUGGCCCUCCUUAAGCUCAGCCAUCCUGACCUCCUGCACUUUCCUGAGUGUGCCCAGCAUUUCUUGCCACCUCUGGGCCUUUGCAGACGUGAUGCCUUGGCUCUAAUAGCCUUCUCUGCUCUGAUCUGCUGGUGAACUCCUAUGCAACCUUCAAAACCCAUCUCAUAGGUGCCCUCCUCCAGAGUCAUUCCUGCCUCUCUAAGGUAAGGUAGGGGCUGCCUUCAGCUCCUGCGGCACCCUCAUCCCAAUCCAGUCCUCUCAGUCAUAGUACUCAGCAUUCUUGCAAGCCUGCUACUCUCUUGAUGGGGGCUCUCCAGGGCGAAGUCCUCAGGAAUGCCCUCUGCAGGUCCCUGACCUCCACCUUGCGCUGUUGAGGACUCAGAAUCUCCAAGUUCAUGGCUGGGCGUGGUAGCUCAUGCCUGUAAUCCCAGCACUUCGGAAAGCAGAGACAGGAGGAUCACUUGAGCCCAGGAGUUCAAGACUAGCCUGGGCAACAAAGUAAGACCCCAUGUCUACAAAAAAAGUUUAAAAAAUUAGCC
This 743-nucleotide long non-coding RNA is filed under the name Homo sapiens (human). RNAcentral's name for it is "non-protein coding lnc-ELN-4:3". Lineage: Eukaryota; Metazoa; Chordata; Mammalia; Primates; Hominidae. The record is from RNAcentral.